This 440-nucleotide ribosomal RNA is filed under the name uncultured bacterium. Its description in RNAcentral is "partial 16S ribosomal RNA". It matches the Rfam family "Bacterial small subunit ribosomal RNA", at positions 338 to 795 of the family's 1533-position model. The record is from RNAcentral.
CCUACGGGUGGCAGCAGUGGGGAAUAUUGCACAAUGGGGGAAACCCUGAUGCAGCAACGCCGCGUGAGUGAGGAAGUAUUUCGGUAUGUAAAGCUCUAUCAGCAGGGAAUAGAAAAGAAGGUACCUGAAAAAGAAGCCCCGGCUAACUACGUGCCAGCAGCCGCGGUAAUACGUAGGGGGCAAGCGUUAUCCGGAUUUACUGGGUGUAAAGGGAGCGUAGACGGAAAGGCAAGUCAGAAGUGAAAGCCCAAGGCUCAACCAUGGGACUGCUUUUGAAACUGUCAAACUAGAGUACGGGAGAGGUAAGAGGAUGUCGUGGUGUGGCGGUGAAAUGGGUAGAUAUUAGGAGGAAAACCAGUGGCGAAGGGGUCUAACUGGACCGAAACGGCGGUUGAGGCUCGAAGGCGUGGGAGCAAACAGGAUUAGAUACCCCGGUAGUC